CCUACGGGGGGCUGCAGUGGGGAAUAUUGCACAAUGGGCGCAAGCCUGAUGCAGCCAUGCCGCGUGUGUGAAGAAGGCCUUCGGGUUGUAAAGCACUUUCAGCGGGGAGGAAGGCGUUAAGGUUAAUAACCUUGGCGAUUGACGUUACCCGCAGAAGAAGCACCGGCUAACUCCGUGCCAGCAGCCGCGGUAAUACGGAGGGUGCAAGCGUUAAUCGGAAUUACUGGGCGUAAAGCGCACGCAGGCGGUCUGUCAAGUCGGAUGUGAAAUCCCCGGGCUCAACCGGGGAACUGCAUUCGAAACUGGCAGGCUAGAGUCUUGUAGAGGGGGGUAGAAUUCCAGGUGUAGCGGUGAAAUGCGUAGAGAUCUGGAGGAAUACCGGUGGCGAAGGCGGCCCCCUGGACAAAGACCGACGCUCAGGUGCGAAAGCGUGGGGAGCAAACAGGAUUAGAUACCCCGGUAGUC
This 465-nucleotide ribosomal RNA is filed under the name uncultured Klebsiella sp. RNAcentral describes it as "bacterial SSU rRNA". It matches the Rfam family "Bacterial small subunit ribosomal RNA", at positions 338 to 795 of the family's 1533-position model. Lineage: Bacteria; Pseudomonadati; Pseudomonadota; Gammaproteobacteria; Enterobacterales; Enterobacteriaceae. The record is from RNAcentral.